GACGUAGGGCGCGAGCGUUGUCCGGAUUUAUUGGGCGUAAAGAGCUCGUAGGCGGCUUGUCGCGUCGACUGUGAAAACUCGGGGCUCAACUCCGAGCUUGCAGUCGAUACGGGCAGGCUAGAGUUCGGUAGGGGAGACUGGAAUUCCUGGUGUAGCGGUGAAAUGCGUAGAUAUCAAGAGGAACACCUGCGGCGAAGGCGGGUUGCUGGGCCGACACUGACGCUGAGGCGCGAAAGCCAGGGGAGCGAACGGG
Molecule: ribosomal RNA, 253 nt
Filed under: uncultured bacterium
Lineage: Bacteria
Description: partial 16S ribosomal RNA
Rfam family: Bacterial small subunit ribosomal RNA
Source: RNAcentral